AACGAACGCUGGCGGCAGGCCUAACACAUGCAAGUCGAGCGAGGACUUCGGUUCUAGCGGCGGACGGGUGAGUAACGCGUGGGAAUGUGCCCUUCUCUACGGAAUAGCCCUGGGAAACUGGGAGUAAUACCGUAUACGCCCUAUUGGGGAAAGAUUUAUCCGAGAAGGAUCAGUCCGCGUUGGAUUAGGUAGUGGGUUGGGUAAUGGCCUCCCAAGCCGACGAGCCAUCGCUGGUUUGAGAGGAUGAUUAUCCACACUGGACCCGAGACAAGCCCCAGACUUCCACGCAGGGCAGAGGUGAAGUAUCUCAGACACCGGGAGCAACCCUGCGCUAGCCAUCCCGCGUGAGUCAUGAAGCCCUUACGGUUGUAAAGCGCUUUCAGAUGGGACGAUAAUGACGGUCCCAACCAGAGAAGGCCCGGCUAACUCCGUG
RNAcentral lists this ribosomal RNA (433 nucleotides) under uncultured bacterium. RNAcentral's name for it is "partial 16S ribosomal RNA". It matches the Rfam family "Bacterial small subunit ribosomal RNA", at positions 29 to 507 of the family's 1533-position model. The record is from RNAcentral.